Molecule: ribosomal RNA, 274 nt
Filed under: uncultured bacterium
Lineage: Bacteria
Description: partial 16S ribosomal RNA
Rfam family: Bacterial small subunit ribosomal RNA
Source: RNAcentral
AUACGGAGGGUGCAAGCGUUGUCCGGAUUUAUUGGGUUUAAAGGGUGCGUAGGCGGUCGCCUAAGUCAGUGGUGAAAUACUACAGCUCAACUGUAGAGGUGCCAUUGAAACUGAGUGACUUGAGUACAGAUGAGGUAGGCGGAAUUUAUGGUGUAGCGGUGAAAUGCAUAGAUACCAUAAAGAACACCGAUAGCGAAGGCAGCUUACUAGGCUGUAACUGACGCUGAGGCACGAAAGCAUGGGUAGCGAACAGGAUUAGAUACCCCGGUAGUCC